This 125-nucleotide ribosomal RNA is filed under the name Frullania junghuhniana. RNAcentral's name for it is "partial 5.8S ribosomal RNA". It matches the Rfam family "5.8S ribosomal RNA", at positions 31 to 154 of the family's 154-position model. From Rfam's summary of the family: 5.8S ribosomal RNA (5.8S rRNA) is a component of the large subunit of the eukaryotic ribosome. It is transcribed by RNA polymerase I as part of the 45S precursor that also contains 18S and 28S rRNA. Lineage: Eukaryota; Viridiplantae; Streptophyta; Jungermanniopsida; Porellales; Frullaniaceae. The record is from RNAcentral.
CAACGAUGAAGAACGCAGCGAAAUGCGAUACCUAGUGUGAAUUGCAGAAUUCCGCGAAUCAUCGAGUUUUUGAACGCAAGUUGCGCCCGAGGCUCGUACCGAGGGCAUGUCUGUCUGAGCGUCCA